Molecule: non-coding RNA, 209 nt
Filed under: Desulforamulus reducens
Lineage: Bacteria; Bacillati; Bacillota; Clostridia; Eubacteriales; Peptococcaceae
Description: Desulfotomaculum reducens T-box sequence
Rfam family: T-box leader
About the family: Uncharged tRNA acts as the effector for transcription antitermination of genes in the T-box leader family. T-boxes are found upstream of many aminoacyl-tRNA synthetase genes and some amino acid biosynthetic genes usually in Gram-positive bacteria.
Source: RNAcentral
AUAGAAGUGAUGAAGGAGAAAAGUAAAGAUCCUAUGCUUAGCAGAGAGAGGAAUCCAGCGGCUGGAAGGUUCCUUAGGCUAAGAUUUUGAAAACCCACUCCAGAGCUGCUCGGGAUAACUGGGCCGGCCACCUCCGAUAUCGGGUAUUAAGUGAAUGCAUUUUUGCAUUAAUAAAGGUGGUACCACGAAAGAAUCCUUUCGUCCUUUGG